CGGGGUAUCACACUAGUAGAAGUUUUGUGUGUGUGGACGGGGUAUCACACUAGUAGAAGUUUGGUGUGUGUGGACGGGGUAUCACACUAAUAGAAGUUUGGUGUGUGUGGACGGGGUAUCACACUAGAAGUAUAACAUUACUUUGUGGAAAAAUUGACGUAAUAAAAGCCACAUGAAUAUAUUUUCAUAAUGUAUCUAAACUGUAGACUUAGGGCAACUAAAAUUAUGUAGUCUACAUAAAUAUGUCAAACACUG
Molecule: non-coding RNA, 255 nt
Organism: Cherax quadricarinatus
Lineage: Eukaryota; Metazoa; Arthropoda; Malacostraca; Decapoda; Parastacidae
Source: RefSeq, a predicted model, not a curated record